AGUUAAAGACUCGCUCAAGUUUAGAGGCCCCAUCAAUUGAGAUGAUCUUGACUUUUGAAGGAGAACAGGUGAUACUAAGAGGAAAUAAGCUUUUCAAGUUGCUGCACUUAUAAAUUCUUAUAAUUUCAAGACUGGGGAAGGAUAUAGGUUGGAGAUGAGCCUGUGAUGAUGAUGCUGAAGUUUGAUCCAUUUCAAUGAUUUGUUCCAAUUCCUCACAAUGAUUUAUCUCCAAAUGGAUCAAAUGCGGCAAAUUUCGAACAAGCAUAGGAGAGAGGAGGUAUUUCAACCUAUUACACUUUGACAUAUGUAACCAUCUAAGACAUUGAAGGCUUGCAACUUGGAUGGGACCCUGCAACUGAUGUAAAUGCUCUAGCUGUAUAUUCUCUACCCUUGAGAAGAAUUGUCCAGCUUGCAUUUGAAAUAUCUUCACACAAUUUCCAACAGUUAUAUAUUCCAAAUUUACUAAACUCCAUCUUGAUUGAGAAUUAAUUGUGUUGCACCCCUUGUCAUUUCCCAAGUCAGAGAGGUAUAAUUCCUGCAAAGAUAUUAAAAUAUCUUAAUUUCAUUAGAAAUUGAAUAAAUUACAAAGGUCCAACAUAUUGUUACAUAAAUAUUGAAAGAGAAAAGUGCCUUGAAUCCCAAAGAAAGUACACAUCACUCUAUGCAUCUAAUGCCUCAUAAAUCAAGCAAUUACUUUAAUAUUUGUUUGAUUAUAAGUUUACACUGUGAAACUUGAUUACAAAGGUCGAUUAACAUAUGACUUGAAGAGUACAAAAUCGAAAGCGAACCUUUUUUGUAUGAAAUGAGGGAAAUAGCAAUUUUUUCUGUAUAUCAAUCUGGAAAUAGCACCCAGUCGUGCUUAGUUCAGUAUAAGUGCAAACAAAGUGGGGAAGGUAUUUUUUUUGUUUACAGGUUCUUGGAUGGGGAGAUUUUGUACUGAUAUUAUAUCUAUUGCUACAUUUCAGGGGUGAUGUUCUGAUCGCCCAUAUUAAUGCAUAUUAACUUUCAGAUAAAAAAACGAAAAAAAUCAGAAUUAACUUCUAAACUAAUGUGCUAUUCUUUUUUUUGCUUUUAAUUCAUGAGUUUUGAUUUUUAUAUUCAUCAAAAAUAAAGAGUAUAAAAUUAUUUUAAUGGCAAUUUUAAGAUAUCGUUGAAUUAGUUUAUGAAGGUUGAAAAGAUUUGAGUCCAAAGCAAAAUCUGGAACCACAAUUGAGGGAAAAGAGUAUAAAAAAAGUACCUUUAGUUGAGCCUGCUGGUUAACUUCUUUUUGAAUGGUGAAAUUUGACAAUUUAAGACAAUUGAAAACUACCAACUUCUCCAAGGAAGGCGCUGCAAUGAGAAAAUUUUUCCGAGCAAAAGCAACUCAAAUUUAUCAAGUUUCCAAGCCGGAGAUCUUGUAGGCAAGGGAGCACAAUGGCACGACCAACUCCAUUCUCUUCUUUUGUCACAUUGAACAGUUGUUGUAACUGAGGAGAAUUGCUUAUCCAAACGAAUUUCAACCGUGGAAGAACUUGAGCCAAUGGAGUUUGAAAAACAUAUUCCAAUUUUGGACAAUCACUUAUGGUAAGAGUUUCCAAUUUUGGCAAGAGCGGAGAAUAGGGAUGGUCUUCUGAUUCUAUUUCAUCAUCAAAUUCCAACUCAGUGAUAAUGUGUUGGAGUCCAUUGCAAUGAUCUAUCUUGAGUUGUUCAAGGAGCACCAAGCUUUGAGCAAGGAAUGGUGAGAAGAGAUAUUUCAAUCUAUUGCAAUAACUAAUUUCUACAAACAUCAAGCUUUGGAGGCUGACAAAAUGGGUGGACCCUUUCCAUAUCAACUUCAAUUCUGGUAAUGAGUGCAACUCCAUGAGUGUUAAAUUUGACAGCAGUGGUCCUUGAUUUUCUUUUGUAUCAUGUAGAAUCUCAUCUGUCUGAAAUACUUCUUGCAAUUGGCCACAAUUAAUAACUUUCACUUCCUUUAGAUUUUGUAGCAUAGGAGAUAAAGAGACCAUUUCCAUGCAAUUCGUUGCUUCCAACUUCUCUAGUUUUUGUAGAAAUCCCUUUGGAAUCAGACCGUUGCACAACAUUUUCAAACCAGUCAUUUCUUCUAUGACUAAUUCCACCAAAUUGAAGAAUGUAUUGGUUGAGACAUGGCCUUGUGUUGUAUCAAUCAAGCAUUCCAGCUCCUUGCCAUCUUUAAUUAGAAGAAAAGUUAAUUCAUUCAGUCCCUUUGGAUCCACAUUUGGAACCAGAUUUUUCUGAUACAUGACUCCUUUCAGCGUAAGACUUUUGGCAUUGUAUAAUAAAUCCUUCAUGGCAUGCAAUCCAAGGUCCUGAUAAAUUCACAACAAAAUGCUUAGUCAGGCAGAUUUUGUGCUGGUAUCUACAUUGCUACAGUGGUGUAACACCUCAAAAUCCUUUUACACAUUUCAGGGGUGAUGUUCUGAUCACCCAUAUUGAUGCAUAUUAACUUUCAGAAAAUCAGAAUUAACAUGCUAAUUAAUAUGCAAUUCUUUUUCUCACAGCAAUUUUAAGAUACCGUCGGAUUAGUUUAUUAAUGUUGAAAUAUUUGAGUCAAAGGCAAAUUUUAGAGCCACAAUUGAAGGAAAAGAGUAUAAAAGAAGUACCUUUAGUUGAGCUUGCUCGUUAACUUCUUUUUGAAUGGUGAAAUUUGUCAAUUUAGGACAGUCCCAAAAUACUAAAUUCUCCAAGGAUGGCGAUGCGAUGAGAAAAUUUUCUGAGAAAAAGCAACUCAAGUUUAUCAAGUUUCCAAGUUGUAGCUGUUGUAGGCAAGGGAGUGCAAUGGCACGAUCAACUCCAUGCUUUUCUUUUGCCACAUUGAAGACUUGUUGCAAUUGAGGAGAAUCGCUUAUCGAAACGAAUUUCAAUCGUGGAGGAACUUGAGCCAAAGAAAUUUGAAAAACAUAUUCCAGUUUUGGACAAUUACUUAUGGUUAGAGUUUCCAAUUUUGGCAAGAACGAAAAAUGGAGAUGGGCAUUUGUUUCUAUUCCAUCAUCAUAGACCAACUCGGUGAUAAUGUGUUGCAGUCCAUCACAGUGAUCUAUCUUGAGUUGUUGUAGCAGUACCAAGCUUUGAGCAAGGGAUGGUGAGAAGAGAUAUUUCACGCUGUUGCAAAAACUAAUUGCUAAAUACUUCAGGCUUUGGAGGCGAACAAAAUGGGUGGACCCUUUCCAUAUCCACUUCAAUUCUGGUAAUAAGUGUAGCUCCAUAAGUGUUAAAUUUGACAGUAGGGGUUCUUCUGUAUCACGAAGAAGCUCAUCUAUUUGAAAUACUUCUUGCAACUGGCCACAAUUAAUAACUUUCACUUCCUUUAGAUCUUGUAGCGCGGGAGAUAAAGAGACCAUUUCCAUGCAAUUCGUUGCCUCCAACUUCUCUAGCUUUUGUAGAAAUCCCUUUGGAAUCCGACCGUUGCACAACAUUUUGAAACCAAUCAUUUCUUGCAUGACUAAUUGCACCAAAUUGAAGAAGGCAUUGGUUGAGACAUGGCCUUCUGUUGUAUCAAUCAAGCAUUCCAGCUCCUUGCCAUCUUUAAGUGCAAGAAAAGUUAAUUCAUUCAGUCCCUUUGGAUCUACAUUUGGAACCAAAUUUUUCUGAUACAUGACUCCUUUCAGGGUAAGACUUUUGGCAUUGUAUAAUAAAUCCUUCAUGGCAUGCAAUCCAAGGUCCUGAUAAAUUCACAACAAAAUGCUUAGUCAGGCAGAUUUUGUGCUGGUAUCUACAUUGCUACACUGGUAUAACACCACAAAAUCCUUUUAUACAUUUCAGGAGUGAUGUUCUGAUCACCCAUAUUAAUGCAUAUUAACUGUCAGAAAAUCAGAAUUAGCAUGCUAAUUAAUAUGCAAUUCUUUUUCUAACAGCAAUUUUAAGACACCGUUGGAUUAGUUUAUUAACGUUGAAAGAUUUGAGUCAAAGGUAAAAUCUAGAACCACAAUUGAAGGAAAAGAGUAUAAAAGAAGUACCUUUAGUUGAGCUUGCUCGUUAACUUCUUUUUGAAUGGUGAAAUUUGUCAAUUUAGGACAGUCCCAAAAUACUAAAUUCUCCAAGGAUGGCGAUGUGAUGAGAAAAUUUUCUGAGAAAAAGCAACUCAAGUUUAUCAAGUUUCCGAGUUGUAGCUGUUGUAGGCAAGGGAGUGCAAUGGCACGAUCAACUCCAUGCUUUUCUUUCACCAUAUUGAAGACUUGUUGCAAUUGAGGAGAAUCGCUUACCCAAACGAAUUUCAAUCGUGGAGGAACUUGAGCCAAAGAAAUUUGAAAAACAUAUUCCAGUUUUGGACAAUUACUUAUGGUUAGAGUUUCCAAUUUUGGCAAGAAUGGAGAAUGGAGAUGCGCGUUUGGUUCAAUUCCAUCAUCACAGUCCAACUCUUUGAUAAUGUGCUGCAGUCCAUAGCAGUGAUAUAUCUUGAGCUGGUCAAGAAGCACCAAGCUUUGAGCAAGGGAUGGUGAGAAGAGAUAUUUCAAGCUAUUGCAAAAACUAAUUUCUAAAAUCUUCAGGCUUUGGAGGCGAACAAAAUGGGUGGACCCUUUCCAUAUCCACUGCAAUUGUGGUAAUAACUGUAGCUCCAUAAGUGCUAAAUUUGACAGCAGCGUUUCUUCUGCAUCAUGAAGAAGCUCAUCUAUUUGAAAUACUUCUUGCAACUGGCCACAAUUAAUAACUUUCACUUCCUUUAGAUCUUGUAGUGCGGGAGAUAAAGAGACCAUUUCCAUGCAAUUCGUUGCUUCCAACUUCUCUAGUUUUUGUAGAAAUCCCUUUGGAAACUGACCGUUGCACAACAUUUUCAUACUAGUCAUAUCUUGUAUGACUAAUUCCACCAAAUUGAAGAAGGCACUGGUUGAGACAUGGCCUUCUGUUGUAUCAAUCAAGCAUUCCAGCUCCUUGCCAUCUUUAAGUGCAAGAAAAGUUAGUUCAUUCAGUCCCUUUGGAUCUACAUUUGGAACCAGAUUUUUGUGAUACAUGACUCUUGUCAGGGCAAGACUUUUGACAUUGUAUAAUAACUCCUUUACUGCAUUAAUUUCAAUGUCCUGAUACAUUCACAACAAAAUGAAAGAUAUGAGAAUAAUAUGAAUAAAAUUUAAAGAUCUGGGCCAAAAAAAAUAUCUUUUCCAAUGAAAGCUUAUUAAAGUCAAAAAAUAAACCAAAGCUUAGAGUAUCAAUAGUGUAUAUUACACUUACGAGUAGAUGUGAAUGUAGUAAAAAUUAUUGAUGGAAAAUAUGUUUUUUUAUGAGAUAAAUAAUCAAUUUAUAAUUACCAGAAGUAAAACUGAAACGAACACAAUGUUAAAGGAAUUACUUUCAACUGAUAUUGCCACGUAAGUCCUUGUUGAUUUUGGGAAUGACUCAUUACUUGGGGUCGGGCACCAACAUUGGAAGCUUCCAACCCUUUGAAAGAUGGCAACUUGACAAAACAGUUUCUUGGACAAAAGCUCCUCAAGUUUUCUAAGUCUUCAAGUCUUAAAAACUGUAAUUUAGGGAGCAUAAUAUCGUGCUUAUCCUCUUCUUUUGCCAUGUUGAAGACAUGCAUUAGUUGAGGGCAAUCAAUUAUCUGAACUGAUUCCAAGUACGGAAGUCCUUGAGCCAAAGUGAUGGGAAACACAUAUCUCAAACUUUUGCAACUAGCUAUCUCAAAAGAUUUUAAUUUUGGCCAGCACAGAAGAGAGCGAUCCUUGUUUGAAACUAUUUCAUCACCAUUUUCUGCUUCCAUGAUUAAAUGUUUCAAGGAGUUGCUUUCCUUUAUCUUGAGUUCUUCCAGAUGCACCAAAGCUUGAGCAAGGGUAGGUGAAAAGAGAUAUUCCAAUUUAGAACAUGAACCAAUUCUCAUAGUUUUAAGGCUCUUGAGCUUAACAAGAUGGGUGGGUUCUCUCCAUAUGCACCUCAAUUCUGGUACAGACUCCAACUCCAAACAAAUUAAAUUUGAGAGUGGUGGUGCCUGAUUUUCCUGACAUAAAAAAAUUUAUUGAUUAAUAAUUAUUUAAAUCUGAAUUAAUUGCACUUGUUCAAAAAAGUACUUAAAUAUUAACGACAUACAUUUUUAAAAAAUUUAAAAGGAAGUGUAAAAAACCAUAAUUUACAAAGAUUAGAACAGAUGAUUACUCAUAUAUUUGAUAAUUUAACAAAAAGAAAAAGUAAUUAGAUAAAGAACAGAUACUAGAAUUAUUAAAGGAAAAAUGGAGAGAUAAGAGGUACCUCCAGCUCAGCCAUAUCUUGGGCAAAAGCAAAGACUUGCUCUAAUUUCUUGCAUGCAGAUAUCUUGAGUUGUUCAAGAUGCAACAAACUUUGAGCAAGGCAAGGUGAGAAGAUAGAUUUCAGUUUAUCACAACCAUCAACUUUUACAUCUUUCAGACUUUGUAGGCUCACAUAAUGAGUUGGCUCUUUCCAUAUACUCUCCAAUGCCGGUAAUGACUGCAGCUCCAAGCUUCUUAAAUUUGAGAUUGACAGCAUCUGACCAUUCAUUUGAAACACUGAUUGCAACUGUCCACAAUCGCAAAUGAUCAAUGUUUCUAAGUUUUGUAAGAAGCUAUUCGGUGAUUGACCAUGGCAUAACUCUUUCAAAGAAGUCAUUUUACCAAUGUCUAAGUUCACCAAAUUAGAGAAUGCAGUGGUUGGACUCUGUUCCCAUGUUGUAUCAAUCAAGCAUUCCAAAUCAUCGCAAGAUGUAAGCUGAAGAGAAGUUAAUUCAUUUAGUCCCCACUGAUCUACAUUUGGGACAACAGUUUUGUGUUCCAUGACUUUGAACAAAGUCAGCUUUUGCACAUUGGGAAACAGCUCCUUAAAUGCAUUUAAUGAUGAGCAAUCACUAAUUGUCAAUAUUCUCGAGAUACGCUUCUCCGGAAAUUCAAUAUAUGCAUUUACUGCUAUACUGUAGCUUUGUAGUUUAGGGAACACAAAGUUUUCUUGAAAACAUUGAUCAGUAGAAACAAUCAAUGUUAAUGUAGUCAAACGAGACAAUGAAUUCAACUCCAGUAAGUUAGCAUUGUUGUCUCUCGGAACGUGUAGCUCUUGGAGUGACGUUAACCUGUUACACACAAAUAUGAAAUAUCAUUAAGGCUGAAAUAACACAUUCAAGCAAAUGAUAAAAAUGGCUAAGUAAUGAAAUGAAUAAGAUAACAUGCUUAGAGAAAAUGUGUGCAUUCCAACCAAAAAAGGCGAGCUUCCAUGAACAAGAACAGAUCACAAAAAGCAUAAAAAGUAGUCCAAUCAUGAUACUGCAGACCAAAUGGAGUAGCAUGAAUCCAGGAUACUAAUCAAGCAUGACAAAUCAUCGAAGACAGAGGCCAUAGAAACAAGAGACCAACAUAUCAAACAGUCUCAUAAAAAUCCAACAAGGCAAAGGUGAAUAUAUUCGCACAAUCAGAUUGCCAGCGGGAAACAACAAAAUUAAAUACUUAACUAAAAACAAUAAGAUAAACAGUUUUAAUGACAUUUAAGUAUUACCUUGAUAGCAAGUUAGGGGGGACAUUGAUGGGUCCAUCUCCAAAGCAAGAAAAGUAUAGUGACUUCAGUUUACCCAACUCCACUAAUUCUUUAGGUAGCUCUUCAAGAUCAACUUUAACCAAUUCCAAAAACUCAAGGUCUUUCAGAUUUCUCAAUGAUGAGAUGUCCUCAAGUAGGUGACACCUUCUAAUGGAUAGAGUUCGAAGAUUUGUUAGGAAUUGAAACGCUUUCAUUGAGAAUUCAAAACGUACAAGAACUAAAAUUCGGAGGGUUUUCAUUCCUUCAAAAAAUGUACUCGGGACUAUUUGGUAAUCCGUUCCCGAUAAAAUCAAAGUCUUGAGUUUUGAAAAUUCUAAUCUCUCAGGAAAAUUAUCUAUCUUACUAUUCCAUAAGGAGAUUGCUGUAUAACAACCAAAAUUUUCACUGUUAGGCCAUUCCGUCAACUCAUUUUUUACCAUGAACAUUUUUUCCCCUGUGGAUGUUAUCCAAUGAGCAAAAUCACGAACCACAUCAUGCAUUUUUACAGAUUCUUCAUCAUCAGUUUCCAAUAACAAACCAGACUUUUGAAGUUUUGAUAGUGCUAGACGAAUUUCCCUCCUUAAAUCUUCAAUUAAGUUAAUAUCACAAAACAAUCCCAGACCAAGUCCAAUUACUGUCAACCGCUCACUAUCAAUCUCAUAAUCUUCUGGAAAAAGAGAACACAACAAGAAGCAAGACUGGAUAUUGUCUUCCUUCAAAUAAUCAUAACUAAGCUGAAGGCAGCUAUAGAUAUCUCCACAAACAUCUUGAUUAUCCAAAGGUCUUGAGUCCUUGAGUCGUUGAUUUGCUGCUAUCCACCCAUCUAGACUUUCACCUUUUAGAGCAUUUGCCACAGUUACAAUUGCAAGAGGCAAACCCUUGCAUUCACGAGCAACCUCCUUGGCUACAUCGUUCACGGUGAGAGAGACAUGUUCUAGACUAGCAUUAUCUUUGAAUAAAGCCCAUGCUUUAUCUUCAGAUAAGAUUUCCAGUUCAAAUUUCUCUUGACAAUUCAUUUGAAUACAAACUUGUUGAAGACGUGUAGUUAGAAGAAUUUUGCAACCCUCGUGUUCACCGCCGAAUGGAAUUCCUAUAGUUUGCAAUUCAAGUUUUUUCCAAACAUCAUCGAGAAUUAUGAGAAUCUUCUUCUCGCCUUUUAAUCUCCGCCAUAACUCUUCUGCUUUUCCUUCUUUCGAAUUUUUCUCGAAUUUUAAACCAAAGAUAUCUGCAAUUUUAUCUUGAAUUUUGUUGAUGUCUGGAGUUUGGGACACUGUAACAAUCACAACUUUAUCAAAGAGCUUUUGUUCCUUUUCCUGUACUUGCUUACCCACUACUUCCGCCAAAGUUGUUUUACCCACUCCUGGCAUUCCGUACAAUCCAAUCAUGUUCACACCAUCACUUUUUAAAGCCUUCAUGAUCCCAUUGAAAGCUGAAUUUGAAGAUUCGGAAGUCAUGAAAUCCUUGGGUAGUAGGAACUCUAUUCCUUGAAGAGGAGGACGCUGGCCGACUCGUUGAAAAUUAUAAGUCUCUAUAAGUUUAGAGAUACAAAGUGUCUUCUUCGCUACUUUGAUACUUAAGCAGUAUCGCCAGCCGCAACUAGGACACCAAUUGAAACACGUGUUACGUUCUAUUUCUUCAUCCAAACUCUGAGCUUCAUCCAAUUCUUUCUCUGCCUUUUCUAGCCACUCCUCAACGCCCUCCUUAAUUACCUCAGUUUGCCUUAAAGCCUCAUCUCUAGCAUCUUUCACCUCAUCUCUUUUUGAUUUAAGUGCUUCUAGCUGAUCCUUGAAUUGCUUAACAUUUCUGCCAAAAUGGAAAAAGUAAGCAACAUAAGGUGAGGCGCAUUCUGUUGCCAGGUUCCCCAUGUAAUUGGCAAUAACAGAGACAAGACAUUCGAGAGCCAUUCUUUGAUGAUCUGAGACUCAAAAACAAUUUGGAAGAGUAAAAAGUUUUGCAAAUAUAAAACAAAUACACAAAUAAAGAUGAAAGAAUUACUUAAUUUGAAAAUAUAAAACAAAUGUCGAUGCAUCUAAAUUUGCGAAUAUAAAACAAACACAAAUAAACUAAAGAAGAAAAAGAUGAAGAUUUACGUACCAAUCAAAUCUAUAGAUGAACUUUCAGGAGCCAAGACGGUGAAGGUUUUUUUUAUUUUUUUGUGUGUGUUCAAAGAAAACUGAAGUAGAAAUGAACUCUGCACUGCAAUGAACAGAAGGUCAAGGAAUUAAAAACUAACAGACUUUCACUUAUCUUCUUUUUAACACGUAUAGAUAAUUCUGCUUCUGAUAGAAAAGAACAGAGCAAACCAGAAAAAGCAAAGUAAACAGAGCAACUCUUUAAGGCAAGAAGAUUUUUUUUUUUUAAAGUAUCGCCAUUCUUUUCCUAAAGCAAAGAGGUGAACUUACAAAAAGAAAUUAAUAGUGGAAAAGGUACUGAAAUCCUUUCUGGAAACUUACCUCUCUAUUCUCACCACUUGAAUGUGAAAGGGUAAGAGACAAAACACAAAGUUUCUAGCUCUCUGCUUCACACAAAUGCCAUGGGUGGAGUGUAACUGUUUAAGAUCAAAACAGUUAAUUUGGACAUAGAAAAUAAUUCAGUGCCAAUUUUGCAGGCAAAGUUUGCAGAUGUAUACUCAAAUGCAAAAACCAAGACAAAAAUAAGCCAUCGAAGAAGAAGAUGCACAUAUAUACCAAGGAAAGAUGAAGUUUCAGGAGCCAAGGCCAAGCUUUUCUAUAUUGUUCAAAGAAAACUCAAGUAGAAAUCAAGUUUGAACCGCAAUAACCAAAAUCCCAGUAGCAAAGGGAAUUAAGAAACAACAAAUAUGUGUCAAUCUAAGAUGAAAAGAAUAACUUAAUUUGAAAAUAGAAAAUAUGUGUCAAUGCAUCUAAACUUGCAAAUAUCUAUACUCAAAUGUAAAGCUAAGACAAAUAAAGCACAGAAGAAGAGGAUGAACAUUAACAUACCGAAGGAAAUAUAUAUGAACUUUGAGGAGCCAAUUAGACCGAGCUUCUAUUAUGAUCCAGCCAAAAUAUAUUACAGAAAUUAACAACGUCGAUGGAGGUUUUUUUUUUUCCUUAUUUUUUUUUUUUGAGUAGAAAGAAAAUUGAAGUAGAAAUCAACUUUGCAUGCACUGCAAUGAUCGAAGGGCCAGGAAAUUAGAAAACAACAAUUUUGCCAAAACGGAAAAAGUAACUGAGAUAAGGUGAUUCUUUGAUGAUUUGAUACCGAAAAGCAAUUUCUAUGAGUAAAAAGUUUUACAAUGGAGGCAAAAGCAAUUACGAAAUGUUUGGAAAGUAUCUUACCUUCGCAAGAAUACUUUUAUGAAAUAUGUGAAUCACAGGAGAACUAAUUGUCAAACCGACCAACUUGUAAAGUGAAAAUGCUGCACAAGUAGAAAUUAUCCACUGGUCAUGUGUAUAGUAAUUAGAAAUAUAUCUCACAUGUUAGAGUAAAAGCAUAGUAUUAUGAUUCUAUAAAAUACUUUCUCAAAAUUUAAAAUAUCCAUUGAUUUCAGUUUUUUCCUAAUAACUACAGAUUUUAUUUAACCAUCGUUGUCAUGGCUGGGAAAGAAGUAAAAUGCAAAUUAAUUAAUUUUAUUUGCCAACUGAAGAAAUCAAGAUGUCUAAAGAGAAAUAUAAAGCAUAGCAAAAAUUAUAUAUGGAGAAGCUUACAUCACUUCGAAUGGAUCUUCAAAAGCUGCAUGGACUUUUUCUUCACCAACUCUGAAGAUCGGGAAAGUAAAAUUGAGGACUUCUUUCUUUAGAUAGAAAGCAGAGAAAUCAAAAUCAGAGAGCAAGAGGCUUUCGGUUUUUUGUUUUUUUGGGGGCUUUGUGGAGCUAAGGAAAGGAAAAGUUGGGAUCAAAGAACAGUUUUUUUUGUCUGAGUUUAAAGAAAAUGAGGAAAGUAGAAACCAAUGAAAAUAAACCAACAGAGAUGCUUUCUUUUUUUGAGUUGAAAGAAAAGCGGAAAUAUCAAGGAAAAUGAAAUGGAAGAGUAAGGCAGAAAUCAAACAGUGUUUGGUGUAGUGUAGCUGGCAGAUGCGGAGAUGAUAGAAGAAGAAGCUUGAAUGGAAACUCUACGGAGACAAAGUAGUAAGAGUAGGUGUAGGAAAUUUGGAGUACUAAAAUUCAAAUUAGGAACAAUGGAAAAAUAUUAGCAACUUGGCUCACAGUCCCCAUGUAAGAUUCUCUUUUCUUUGAUAAUCUAGCUACAAUGCGAAAGCUAAUGCUGUACUUUGAGAAAGUUUGUUUUGUUUAUUGUUUUUCGGUUGGCUUUUCUAUAGUUAGUCUGUCCUCCUUUUGUUUUUUCUUCCUUGGUUAUGGCGGUCCUCGAGACUCAAAUGUUUAUUUCUGCCUUUGGCCAGCAUGAGCUAUCAACAUUAUUAUAUAAUUUGAGGGUUUUUGUUUACUACUGGGACAAUUGCAUGUGAAUAUGUUAGAUAUUUUAUUCCAAUUUUAAUUGGGAAUCGGUAAAAUUUCAUUAGUCAAAAAUUAUUGGGUAAUUAAAUUUAUUUAAAGGGUAAAUAUACUUAAUGAUUAAGAGUUUUUGAUGGGUAGGAGUUCAUGGUGACAAAGUAAUAUGGUUUUAUAAAUAUGGAGUGGGUCUAAAACUUUAAAAUUAAGAUAGAAAUGCAAUAUAUUUUUGAAAUCAAGUUUUUUUUUUUUUAAUUUGAGAAAAAGGGAUUCAAACCUUACUCUUUAUGCAGGAGAUCAUGCACUAAUCAAUAACCCAAAUGCACAUAUGCAUAUUUUUGAAAUCAAGUUUUUUGUGAGAGUUUCACAAAAUUGUAGAGAUGUGAGAAAAGAGUACGGGAAACACAGGUUGCAUGAGAUCCAAGGUAUUGUAAACCUUGAACUAGUGGGAAUAAUUAUUUAUAUACCUUUCUCUCUUCCAAAAUAUUGUUAUUAUUAGAAAUUUAGAAGUAGAGUUAUACGUACGUUGAUCCUUCAUUUGGUUUCAAAAUUUUUUUUCCUUUUUUAAGUUAAUUUCCUUUUUAAAGAAAUUAUAUUAUGUGGCCGAAGGACAUGAGCUCUUAGUGAAAUUGUAUUUAUGUUGCUGAAAUCAAAUAGAAACUAAAAGAAAUAUCAUCAAAAACAGGGGUCAAAGGCUUUUACCUUUUUUAUAUUGAUGCUUAUUCCAACUUUCAUAUUUUAGCUUUUUCCUUUAUAUUUGGUCUUUGAGGUGAUGGCCUUGGAGUGGUAAUGCCUUCUUCCAACAAUUACUAGUCACCAAUUGUGAUCAGGGUUGUUAAUUAAUCCAAGAACCUUAAAUUUGAGACUUUAAUUAUUUCUUCUCAUAAAUUUUGGAUAUCAAAAGUUCGAACAUAUCAAAAUUAAUUAUGAGAAUUUCACUCUAAAUUAAAAUUAAUUAAUUAAUACUUUUCAUUCCAAAUAUAAGGUUUGAAAACAACGUUUUAAUGUUUAUUCUUGGACCAAAAAAUUUUGUUGCCUAGUGCCAAAACUAUCUCUAGCUUUUAGUUUGGAUUGGGGAAGACCCUUGUAGGACUCAAAUAGUCAAAUAAAUUCGUCUUAGGAUCUUGGGCUUUGGUUGAAAGUGCAAGACCUUUGACCUGAAAUGCCUCUUGUAUUCCACAACUUUUGAUUUUUAAUUCUAUCAAAUCUAGGAUGCAUUUUCCCUAAUCUUUUCCUUUUCUAAUACAAUAAUCCCAACCACCACAGCUUUUGCUAGUGGAAAAUGGAAUUAUCCAUUCACUUUUUUAUUAUUUUUAUUUUAUUAUCCAAGAACAGAUGCAGCAAAGACAAUUGGUAUUCUUCCAAGUCUUUUUUUAUUGUUAUUUUCUUUUAUUCAAAUAACAAUGAACCCAAACAUAUUUGCUUUAUGGAAUUAUUGGCCUCACUUUUUCAUUUCUUUCUUUUUUUAAAAAAUAUUUUAACAAGUAAAAAUAUCUCACUCUAAAGUCUUAUAUUAUUAAGCACACAAUAUGUGUUGAUGAUUAUUAAAGGGAGAUUGAUAAGUAAAUCCAUCAUCUCAAGGAGAAAUUUCAUUUAAAAAAAUGAUUAGCAUUGAGAAAAAUAUUGGCAACUUGGUGAUUAAUAAUCAAUUCAUUAUUAAUAAGAGUAGGAAGUUUGGAAAAAAAUAUUGGCGACUUGGUGGUGAAUAAUGAAUUGAUUAUUAAUAAGAGUAGGUGUAGGAGUAGGACAUAUGGAUAGAUUAUUGGCAACAUGACUCAACGUCGUCCCAUUGAGAAAGCUACAAUGCCAAAGCUACUUUCAUACAUUGAACAAGUUUGUUUUAUUUACUGUUUUCCAGCUAUAAUUGAAAUACCCCAUACUUUGAUAUGGUGAUAAAUAAAGUUGAUCGAAUGCAAAUUGAGGUCAAUUAAAAUGUUUAGAAGUGAUAAAAGACGAAAGGAGUAGUUUAGGAUAAAAUAUUUCGCAAGUGAGAAAAUAAUAAUAAAAUAAUAAUAAUUUUAUUGGAGGAGAAUUUGUGAGAUAAAAGGUGAUUCGGAAGUCAAGUGAGGCAUAAUAAGGUAUUUUGGGUACGAAAGAGACAAGAUACAAUUUUUAGAAUAAAAUAAUAUUUUAUUAGUAAAAUAAUAUUAAAAUAUUAAUAUUUAGCCGGAUGUCGAAGUCAAUCAAGAAGAAGGAUCAUAUGGUUGAUCCAAGUGGGGGAGAAGAUGACAAGCGCGACUGUAUAAAAAUAUUUGUCAUGACAUACAUGUGAUGGAAAGCAUGUUUGCAUGCUAAGAGAGUCCCGAAAAAUUUACAAAAGUCGGUAUUGUACCUAGAUGUACAACAAAGUUGAUUUAAGCCUCGAACUAGAUCAAAUAGAGAAUUUACGAUGAAAUUAAGAAUUUUAAAGUCCCAGAAUGGUUUAAUAUGGUGAUUUAGAGUUCUAGGAUCAAUUUGGAGUCAAAUCGGAAUUUUCGCUAUCUAGGGACAAAAUGGUCAUUUGCCACCUAGGGACAAAAUGAGAAUUUUAGAAAAGAUUUUUUUGGCCCCAUUUGACUUAUUGGAGUAUAAUUUGACUUAUUGGAGUAAGAUUUGAGGUUUAGAAGUGAAAAAUUUUAAUUUCGGUAUAAUUUGGAGUAAAAGGGUAAAAUGGUAAUUUUGCCACCCUAGGGGCAAAAUUAUAAUUUUUCACCACCAGGACAUUUUUCCAGCACAUGGUCUUCCUUUAUCCUCAUUUUGACCAUUGACUAAUUGUGUGGUGGAGAUAAAAAGGAUUAAAAUUUUUAAAGUUUUAAAAACGGGGCAAUGACAUGAUGCCAUGUGUCAUGCCUUUAUUAAUUUAUUAUUUUCCUUUUUAAAAGGCACAAAAAUCAGCUCAUCUUCCACCCCAUGGCCGGCCAAACCAGCAAGAAGAGAGAGAAAACAAAAACAAAACCCUAGAGAGAGAAAAUCAAAGAAAAAGUGUGAAUUUUCAAGGAAAUUAAGUGAAAAAGGUGAGAUUUUUUCUAUUAAGCUUGAGUUUUCUUAUUCCCAAGCAUUUCUCUUUAUUUUCCAUGAUUAAAUUACAUGUUUUCAUGAUAAAUUCAAUUCUGAAAAAAUGGGUUAGGAGAGAGAAAGUUGUUAGAUUAAUUUGAUUUUAAGUUAUGUUAGUGUUUUAAGUUAGUUUAGCAUAUUUAGAAACAAAACAACAAGAAAAGAAUUUAUUUUCUCUCACAAUCAUUAAUGGCCGAAUUUAUCAUGUGUUGAGUGGGGAUAAAUUUGAUUUUCAUUUUAGGAGAAUUGGUUAAGAAAUGAUGAAUUAUGAGCCUAGAAAAAUAAUGAAAAUUUUCGAAGCAAAAAUACGAUUUUUACCCACUAGGGGUAUUUUCGUAAUUUGCUAUCAAGAUUAAUAAAUUGAAUCUUAUUCACAGUCAUGGAGGUAAUUUAGUUAUAAUUGGAGUGUAGAAAGUGAGAAGAAUUGAUUUGGAGUUAAAUUGGAGAUAAUAGGCCGAAUUAGGUCAACACCGCAUUUAAGCGAUAGUCGGAUAAGUUGUAUAUCCUAUCAUGCAUAUAUACCGAGCCUGAAUUGAUUUUAUAAUGGUCAAGCAUUGAUGUGAUGAAUUAUGUAUUGUAGAUUGUGGAUAGGUGGUGAGCAAAGUACACUGGUAAAAGUACAGAAAUUGUGCUUGGAGAUUGGGAUUAGGAGUACAUCGACUCCUAGAAUAGUGAGUGAACUUAUUAUCGUCUUAAUUAUCUAGAGUAGUUUUAUACAACUAUGUGGUUUUAUGGAAAAUGGGUUUAAAUGGUAAAUUGCUAUGUUUUAAGAGAAAUUGUGAUUUUAUAAAAUGAUUUUAUAAAUUUUCUGAAAAAUCGAAUACUGAUUUUGAAAAUAAAGUAAUUGGAGACUGCCUGCUUGUGUUGCAAAUUUAUGGUUUUGAAUUGAAUGGCUUAUGACAAUAAAUGAGCAUGAAUGGCUAAACUAAUUUUGGUGUUAGAAUUAUUUAUACUGUGUAUUCAGCCUUGAGAGGCUAGGUUGCGAAAAAUUACCAUGUCAUGCUAGAAUGAAUUUUAUUGAUUGGUGGGUUAUAUAUUAAUUAUUUACUGUAGAGGGAGUUUUGUGGACUAGCCUAUUAGAGGGGCACGGUAAACUCCAUUAUAUUAUUACCUCGAACGGAGAGGCGCGUAGGGUAUCUCCUGGGGUAAAGCUUAGGGUUCACUUCACGCCAAACCACCACGUGAAGGGGAACUCAGCCAAUGCCAAGGACCGGCUGUAUUUUUCUCAAACUAAAAUAUAUGUUAAGUGUAUACAAAAUUUGAACAGCCUUGACGGACUCGGUUAGAUGCCCUGCGCAAGGUAUCACCGAGUAUGAGUUUUGGCACGAGCCAAAGUUUUAAGAAAUUCUUAAGCCAAGUUGAUUACUCGAUUUUUAUGGAUUGAUUUUAUUUGGUUGAAAUGAGUUGAAAGGUAAUGAAAUUACAGUAUAAUGAUUUAUUUUAAUUAUCUCAAUUUACUCGACUUUAGAUAGUUUAGAUGGUAUUUGUUUACUCACUGAGAUUUUAUAAUCUCACCACCCUCAUUUCCUCACAUUUCAGGCUCGAGGAAUUCCAUAGUUAGCUGACUUUGACAAAGACCUUCAUUUGGACUCGAAUCGGUAAAAGCUGUAAGUUUCCAGAUUUCGAUGCAUUUUGUUAGAUGUGCGCCCACGUGUCACUGUAAAAGAAAUUUUAUACUUUGGUUAUUUGCUUUAUAGUAUAUAUAAAUAUAAUUAACUUUUACGCUAUAAGAAUUAUAUACCGAUAGUUUUAUGAAAAUUAUUUUAUAAGAAAAUAGUUUAUUUUAUUGAAUAUUUUUAUUAUAUUCAAAUGGUCAAAUUUUCACUUCAAAUGAACGUUUUAGAUAUUUAAUUUAUUUUUAAAUCAUUAAAUAUAUAUUUUCGGCUUACCUACUACAUUUUUAGCAAGUUUCGAGGUUUUCGACAAAAAUGACGAAAAUGCCCCUGUGAGCCAAAAAAAAAUAUGUUAUGUUAUGAUUUGAAAAUGAUUUGUAAUCCUUCGUAUGUUGAUAUUUGAUAACUAUUGAUCACCAGGGAAGUGCAAAAGCUGAUACGAGAGCCUUGCGAGGUUUCGAUUGACAUUCGGGGUGAAGAAUGUUUGUCGAGGCUUCGCGGCGGUUGUCAUGGGCUCGAUGGGGAGUUCCGGGUCGUGACAAUAAUCCAAAACAUCGUUAGAGAUCCUUUCAUUUCACAACUUUCAUGCAAAACAAAAGCUUGGCAAAUGAACAACAUCAUUAUUUCUUCAACUUAAAUUUUUUUAAUGAUUCACGAUAAUCUUUUUUAUUUAAAAGGUUCACAAUAAUCUUCUUUAUUUCCUCUCAAUUCUAUCAAUUUUAAAGUGGAAGACCCUUGACCUGAAAUGCCUCUUGUAUUCCACAACUUUUGAUUUUUAAUUCUAUCAAAUCUAGGAUGCAUUUUCCCUAAUCUUUUCCUUUUCUAAUAUAAUAAUCCCAACCACCAAAGCUUUUGCUAGUGGAACAUGGAAUUAUCCAUUCACUUUUGAAUUAAUUUUAUUUUAUUAUCCAAACAAAGGUGCAGCAAACACUUGGUAUUCUUGCAAGCCUUUUUUUAUUUUUAUUUUUUUUCUCAGCAAGUGAUUUCUUGUUAUUAUUUUCUUUUAUUCAAAUAACAAUGGACCCAAACAUCUUUUGUUUUAUGAAAUUAUUAGCGUCACUUUUCAUUUUUUUCUUUUAUUUAAAAUAUAUUUUAACAAGUAAUAAUAUCUCACUCUAAAGCCUUAUAUUAUUAAAGCAUGUUAUAUGUGUUGAUGAUUACUAAAGAGAGAUAGAUAAGGAAAUCCAUCAUCUCAAGGAGAAAUUUCAAUUAAAAAAUGACCAACAUUCAGAAAAAUAUUGGCAACGUGGUGAUUAAUAAUCAAUUGAUUAUUAAUAACAGUAGGCGUAGGACAUACCGAAAAAUAUUGCCAACUUGGUGAUUAAUAAUCAAUUGAUUAUUAUAAUAAGAGUAGGUUUAGGACAUACCGAAAAAUAUUGGCAACUUGGGUCAACGUCGUGCCAUUGAGAAGGCUACAAUGCCAAAGCUACUUGCAUACACUGAGAAGUUUGUUUUAUUUGUUGUUUUCCAGCUAGAAUCCAAAACAUUGUUAGAGAUCCUUUGAUUUGACAACUUCCAUACAAAACAAAACCUAGGCAGAUGAACAACAUCAUUAUUUCUUCAACUUUGAUUUAUUAAUAAUCAAAUUAAUUUCAUUUAACAUUUAUAAAAAAUAGAGCUUAACCUUGAGAAAAAUGAAAUUCAGAUACAUCUAUAGUGUAUAUUUUUUUCAUAAACUCCUUUACCCUUUUCAUAAUAAGAUAUCCGGUCAUAUUCACGCGUUCUUUGCAUUGAACAAACUAUUUACAGAGAACUUGCUCUAAUUUCAGGAAUUUUGCAAUUUUGUGUUGUUUGGCAUCAUCUUUUUCAAUGUGGACUGAUAAAUACUCUGAUUACCUCUUAUUGUAAAAUCAAGGAAAAUAAAAUGAAAGAGUAGGUUUUGUUGAGUCAAUAGAAGAGCAAGGGAAAAACCAAACAAAAUCUUGGGAUAGUGUAGCUUGCAGAUGCGGAGAUGAUACAAGAAGAUGCUUGAAUGGUAACUCUAUGAAGACAAAGUAAUAAGAGAAGGUAUAGGAAAAAUGGGGAAAUAUUGGCAACUUGGGUCAAAGUCGACCCAUGUGAGUUUCCCCACUAAUUAAUAAACAAAUAUUAUUCUAUGUUCUUUGAUUAUAACUAGCUACAAUGUGAAAGCUAGUGCUAUACAUUGCGAAAGUUGUUUAAUUUAUUGUCUUAUAUUGGCUUUUCUCUAUUUUUAUCCCCUUCAUAAGCCCUCAUGUCUUCAAUUUCUUACUCUUUUUCCUUCUGAAAAAGCAGCAGCUCGCGUGAGUGAAAGUAGGUAAGAAUUAAGCAGCUAGCUGCACAAUUCCUGGCGUGAAGCAUGGUUCACUUUUUGUCUAUGGAAAUGCAUUCUCCUUUUACAAUAAAUAGAUUAAUCAUCAAUUGAUUACAUUUCACACUUUGUUUAAGAAGUAGUAGCCUAAUCCCACCCACAUACAUAAUAUUAAAAUAAAACAAGAGCAUUUACUUGGUUAAUUGAUUGCUAGCCAACUUGACGGGGACUUUUGCAUUUACCUCGAUAUAUCAUUCUACUCAUUCUUUGAAUUCCUCUUGAUAAACUGACUGCUCUUUUAAAAAGAUUAUAACAAUUAAUCAAUCUUUAAUCAUUAUGACUAAAAUAAGUCUUCUGUCUUAUCAAGGUUAAAGACUUGGAUCAACAUUAUGUACCAAUGUCAUCAUCAAUUUAUGACAAAUUUGCUUUUCAAAAAAACCAAAAAAAAAAAUUUCCUGUAUACUUGCUCUUGGAGAUGGUGGCCUUGGAGUAGCAAUGACUUCGUCCAAUAAUUACUAGUCACCAAUUGUGAUUUCUUCUGCCUGGCCUUCUCAUGCAGAUUUUUAGUUGUUGUUUUCUUGAACCUUUUAUGAGGCGGUCCCUUUCUGUCAUGCUGUUGGACCCUUUUUCUGGUUGAUAUUUUAUAAUCUUUCUCCUCUGGGAAGGAGCUUGUACAGAACUUGCAUAGGAUGAUGGUAUAGGUGUUAAUAGUGUAGAGCUUCCUGCUUCUUGCAAGGUUUUGAUUGCUGCGGGUUUUUGUAAGGAUGUAAUGGGAUAGCCUUAUCCCUUUCUUCUUUUGAAAUAUAAUCUUCUUUCUGCUCUUUAAAAAAAAAAAUUGAGAGUUUAAUUAUUUCUUCUCAUAAAUUUUGGAUACAAAAAUUUCAAACAUAUCAAAAUUGUUGAUGAGAAUUUCACUCUGAAUUAAAAUUAAUUAAUUAUUAUAAUUGGUUCCAAAUAUAAGGUUCAAAAACAACAUUAUAAUGUUUAUUCUUGGACCCCAAACAAUUUGUUGUUUAGUCCAGACGAUUAAUAAAAGUUUAUUCUAUAUAUCCAAAGCUUUUACUUUGGAUAGCAAAAUUAGAUAGGUUUCUUAAACUUACCAAAUAAGAAGAUAUAUUGAUAUUUGGAAUUAGAUUUAUUUGAUAACAAUUAACUUAAAUUUGGGGAAGACCCCUGUAGCAUUCAACUAAGUCAUGUAUAUUAAAAAUAUUUUUAAUAACACGUUUAAAAAUGUGUUAUCUUAAUACAAAUUUGUUGUAUUGUCUUAUGUUCAAAGUAGAAGACCCUUGAACUGAAAUGCCUCUUGCAUUCCACAACUUUUGAUUUUUAAUUCUAUCAAACCUAGGAUGCAUUUCCCUAAUCUUUUCCUUUUUAAUACUAUAAUCCCAACUACCACAGCUUUUGCUAGUGGAACAUGGAAUCAUCCAUUCACUUUUUAAUUAAUUUUAUUUUAUUAUCCUAGAAAAGGUGUAGCAAAGACUUGGUAUUCUUCCAAGUCUUUUAUUUUUUAUUUUUUUCCUCAGUAAGUCUUUUUUUAUUGUUAUAUUUUUUUAUUCAAAUAACAAUGGACCCAAACAUCUUUUGCUUUAUGAAAUUAUUGGUCUCACUUUUUCAUUUCAUUUUUUUUAAAUAUCUCACUCUAAAGUCUUAUAUUAUUAAAGCAUGUUAUAUGUGUUGAUGAUUAUUAAAGGGAGAAAGAUGAGGAAAUCCAUCAUCUCGAGGAGAAAUUUCAAUUAAAAAAUGACCAGCAUUGAGAAAAAUGUUGGGAACGUGGUGAUUAAUAAUCAAUUGAUUAUUAAUAAGAGUAGGCGUAGGACAUAUCGAAAAAUAUUGCCAACUUGGUGAUUAAUAAUCAAUUGAUUGUUAUAAUAGGAGUAGGUUUAGGACAUAUCGAAAAAUAUUGGCAACUUGGGUCAACGUCGUCCCAUUGAGAAAGCUACAAUGCCAAAGCUACUUGCAUACACUGAGAAGGUUGUUUUAUUUAUUGUUUUCCACCUACAAUCAAAAACAUUGUUAGAGAUCCUUUCAUUUCACAACUUCCAUGCAAAACAAAAGCUAGGCAGAUGAACAACAACAUUAUUUCUUCAACUUUGAUUUAUUAAUAAUCAAACUGAUUUAAUUUAACACUUAUCAAAAAUACGGAUCAACCUUGGGGAAAAUGAAAUUCAUACAUUUUUACAGUGUACAUCUUUUUCAUAAACUCCUUUACCUUCUCCAUAAUUAGAUAUUUGGUCAUAUUCACACAUUCUUUGUAUUGAACAAAUUACUUAUAAAGAACCUUCUUUAGCUCCAGGAAUUUUACAAUUUUGUAUUGUUUGGCAUCAUUUUUUUCAAUGUUGAUUGAUAAAUACUCUGAUGACCUCUUGAUCGUAUUUGAUAGUGUUGCUUUGCUCACUUGCAAAUUAAACUUUUCUAAUACUCACUGUUGCAAUUGCUUUUGGGUACAAUUUGAAUUUUUUAUAUUGUAUUCACACAAUACUUUACGCAUUUUAUCCAUUAUUGUUGAUUUCCUUACACCAUUGAGAUGCGAAGCCAUUUUAUUUAAUCUUACCAUUUGUGAUAUUGUAUGUUCUUUUGUAUAUAUGUUUUUGCUGGCCUUAAUAUUCAUGAAGUAUAUUAAUUAAACCCUAAACCCUAUAUCUUGAUAAAUUAUUUUUUUAUUAAUUAAUAUAUUAAUUUAUAAAUUAAAUAAUAUCUCGAUUAAUUAAUAAAUUUUCUUGAAGUAUUAAUUUAUAGAAGUUUUAUUAUACUUCACCAACUCCAGAGAUCGGGAAACCAAAAUUAAGGAAAGGAAGCGUAGCACGGAUCAAACAAAAGUAAUUUAAGAGAACAAUUUUUUUUAUUUUCUUUUUCUGAGAUAAAAUAAGACUAGGAAAAUGGAAACCAAUGAAAAUAAACCAACAGAGAUGCUUUUCUUUUUUGAAAAGUGAAAAAAUAAAGGAAGAGUAAGGCAGAAAUCAAACGAAGUCUUUGGGGUAGUGUAGCCGGUAGACUUGGCGAUGAUAGAAGACAAUGCUUAAACGCAAACUCUAUAUAUGACGACGAAGUAAUAAGAGUUGGUAUAGGAAAAUUGGAAUACUAAUAUUCAACUUACGAACAAUGGAAAAAUGUUGGCAACUUGGUGUUUAAUAAUCAGUUGAUUAUUAAUAAGAGUAGGUGUAGGAAAUUUGGAAAAAUGUUGGCAACAUGGCUCAAUGUUGUCCCAUUGAGAAAGCUAUAAUGCCAAAGCUACUUUCAUACAUUGAGAAAGUUGGUGUUUUCCAGCUAUAAUCCACAACACUGUUAGAGAUACCUUCAUUUCACAACUUCCAUACAAAACAAAAGCUUGGCAAAUGAACAACAUCAUUAUUGGCAAUUUAAUUUUUUUAAAGAUUCAGGAUAAUCUUCUUUAUUUAAAGAUUCAAGAGCAAAGACAAAUCCUUCUUUACAUAUGGGAGGCUCUGGUCUCCCUAAAAUUUUUAAACUUUUUUCUGUAUCAUAUAAAUUUUUUUAUAUAUUCUCUUAAUUUGACCCCUUCAAAAUAAUUUUUUAUUUAAUAAUUAAUACAAAUAAAAAAUGUCAAACUCUAUUCUAUAAAAUAAUUACGACGUCAUUUACAUGCUCAAUAGAAUAUUUGCAUAUUUAGGAAGUUUGAGAAAUCGCUAAAAGAUGAUAUUGCCCCUAAUGGUAUCAUUAAGUUGAUUAAGCCUCAAACUAGUUCAAAUAGGAAUUUUAAGGUGAAAUUAAGAGUUUCACAGUUCAGGGAUGACUCAAAAUGGUAAUUCAAAGUUCGAGGAUCAAUUUAGAGUCAAACCAAAAUUUUCACUAUCUAGGGGCAAAAUGGUCAUUUGCCACCUGGGGACAAAAUGAGAAUUUUUAGAAAAGUUUUUUUUUGGCCUCAUUUGACUUACUGGAGUAUGAUUUGAGGUUUGGAAGUGAAAAAUUUUAAUUUUCGGUAUGAUUUGGAACAUAGGGGUAAAAUAGUAAUUUUGUCACCCUAAGGGCAAAAUUAUAAUUUUCCACCAUCAGGACAUUUGUCCAGCACAAGGUCUUCCUUUAUCCUCAUUUUUGACCAUUGAAUAAUUGUGUGGUGGAGAUAGAAAGGGUUAAAAUUUUUAAAGUUUUAAAAACGGGCCAAUGACAUGAUGCCACGUGUCAUGCCUUUAUUAAUUUAUUAUUUUUUCUUUUUAAAAGGCACAAAAACCAGCCCAUCUUCCACCCCAUGGUCGGCCAAACCAGCAAGAAGAGAGAGAAAAUAAAACUCAAACCCUAGAGAGAGAAAAUCAAAGAAAAAGUGUGAAUUUUCAAGGAAAUUAAGUGAAAAAGGUAAGAUUUUUUCUAUUAAGCUUGAGUUUUCUUAUUCCCAAGCAUUUCUCCCUAUUUUCCAUGAUUAAAUUGCAUGUUUUCAUGGUGGUUUCAUGGCUGGUCAUAUGGGUCUAGAGAGAGAAAAUUGUUGGAUUGAUUUGAUUUUGAUAUAUGUUAGUGUUUAGUGUUAGUUUAGCAUGUUAGUAAACAAAAUAUGUAGAAAAACAUUCAUUUUUCCCAUUACCUAGCCUUAGCUGAAUUUUCAAGUCAAUGGUGAGGAAGAAUGUGAUGUUAUUUUAGGUUAUUUGAUUAUGAAAUCAUGGUUUUUGAUAUGAAAAUUAAUGAAUUAUGGAAAGAAAAUCAAGUAGAAAAAUUUGUGGCAAUGAAGCACCAUUUUGGCCGAAUUUUUCCAAGAAGGAAUAUGAAUGUGGCUUUGCUGAUUUUUGGGUUAUUUGGCUGGACAUUGGUGAUUUGAAGCAUUAGAAAAAAGAAAUGGGAUCAAUUGGAGCUAAAUUGGAUACGUAUUUCAAUUUAUCGGGUAAAAGAUCGAAAUAGGUCAAUACGGUGUUUAGGCAAAAUUUAGACCUUUGGCAUUCCAUAUCAUGCAUUAGUAGUCUAAAUUAGUUUAAUUUCAAUUUAGCACCAAUGUAGUGAAUUAUGUAUUGCACAUUGUGGAUAGGUGGUGAGCCAUUGGAUACGGGUAAAAGACUGUACCCGCGGACUGAAAAUAGGAGUAUUUUUUUUCCUAAUACUGUGAGUGGACAAUUUAUCGUCUUAAAUAUCUAGAGUAAUUAUACUUAUUUGAUGCUUUUAUUGAAUGGUAAGUUUAAAUUAUAAAAUAUUAUGUUUUCCAAUCAAAAUGUUUUUUUUAUAAAAAUGAGAAUUAUACUGGCUUUGAAAUCAAAUAUUGUUUUGGAAAAUUUGAGUAUAUGAAGACUGUGUUGAAAUUUAUGAUUUUAUAUGUUAUUGAAAUUGUGGCUUAUGAUACUAUGGUUGCAUAAUGGCUAAAUUUUUGGGGUUGGCAUGAAAUAUAUGAACAGUUUUGGAUUGGUCUCGAUAGACUGGAUUAAAUUUUAUUCGCCAUAUUAUGCUACUGAAAAUUUUAUGGGUCUGGUGGUAUAUUAAACGGUCACUGCAGUGGUGGGGGUUUCCGUGGACUGCCUAUGAGAGGGGCAUGGUAACCCAAUUAUAUAUUUACCUCCGGGGGCAGAUGUUGGAUGAAAUAUCUCCUGAGGUAAGAUUUGAGUGCACCUUACGUUCGGGCCACCACGUGAGAGUGAGACUCAGCCAACGCCAAGGAACGGCUGUGUGUCAGAUGUGAAAAUAUGUUUAUGGGUAUGGGACAUUUAACAGCCUUGGGGGUCUCAGUGGGAUACCUUGACGAAGGUACUCGUGAGAAUGAUUCUAGCAGGGGCCAAGUUUUAAGAAAUUCAUAAGCAGAGAAAUUUUGAUGAAAAGAAAUUGUUUGGUAUAGAUUGAAAUAAAUUUUGCGUUAUGAACAUUAUUGAGAUACAAUGUUUUUAUAUUGUCUCCAUCUACUCGGCUUUAGAUGCUUUUGAUGGUAAUUGUUUACUCACUGGGAUUAUGUAAUCUCACCCCUCUUCCUAUCCAUUUUUCAGGCUCAGGACAGUUUGUUGAUAGUUGAUAGACGAGAAUUAAUCUCGGAGUUGCAUCCUGAAAAGUAAGGGUUCGUAGCCCUACACUUUCUUGGUCAGUUGGGGGCUCACGUAUCACUGUAAAAGUAAUUUUAUUCUUCAGUUAUCUGAUUUAAAGUAUGUAUGAACAUAUUUAGCUUUUACACCAUGUUUUUGGCAGGUUUCGGUAUUUUCGAAGAAAAAUGACGAAAAUGCCCUUGUGAGCCAGAAAAUAAUAUUUUAUUGUUUUGAUUUGGAAAUGACUUAUGAUUUUUUGAAAUACGAGAUUUAAUAACUGUCGCUCACCGGAGAGAUGCGGAAGCUAAUGCUAAGCCUUGCGGGGUUUCGAUCUGCAUUCGGGUAAUGAGUGCCUAUCGGGACGUCGCGGCGGUUGUCACGGACUCGAUGGGAGUUUCGGGUCGUGACAAAAAAUAACAAAAUGAUUUCAUAUGCCUUACACAACUUUAAAGUUUUUUUUUGUUCUCUUCUUUCAAUUUAUAUUAUUAUUUUUAUUUCUAGUUGUUUAUAUUUUUCAUUUCUAUUCUAUUUGCUCAUCUAUUCUAAGUUUUCAUACAUUUUCUUCAAAUUUCUACGAAUCAUUAAUCAUAUUCUUUUUCUUUUUUUUUGUUAUAUUAUAUGCGGGUUCUAUUUCCUACUUACCAAGAUCUUCAUUUUUUUAUUAUGUGAAUUUUAUUUUCUAUGAUUUUAAUCUUUAAAAAUUAAUAAAUUAUUCUGUAGUUCUCAAAUAUAAGUUGUAAUUUUGCACUUGCUUAAAAUUUUAUCAAUAUAUCAUUUUUUAUUAAUCUUGAUUAUGUAAGAGAUAAUUAUUUUGAGUAUAUAUUUUCUAUGUGCUUUUCGUUUUAUAUUUAGUAGAAAGGAAAUUAUCUUGAAUACAUGGUCUUUAAACAAUCCUCAUUAUAUAAGAGAAAAUUAUUAAUUUGUAUAUUGUAUUUAACUAUUUAUAUUUUAUGCAUUUUAGUUUUAUAUGUUUAGUAUUAUAAGUUUAAAUAGAAAUAAAAUAAGAAUGUUAGAUGUAAUUUAUUUUUGAAAGGUAAGAAUAUUGGAUGUUAACUGCGUAAUUUUGUUUUUCAAGUUUGAUUAAAGUAUGAGUAAGUUAAAAACAAUUGACAAAUUUUUUAAAAGAAAAGUUGCUAAUCGUCCAAAUGAUUCUUUGCAUUUGAGCCUCAAUACUUCAACUCAUGAACAAGAGCAAUUUGAUUCAAAAUGUCCAAAUCUCAAUGCUAAAGAAAUGGAUGUUUUUCAAUACAUAAUCAAUAAUUGAUGAAUUUGAAUUCAAAAAAACAUGUUCGAACACAACUUUCCUUAAGGACUAUUGUAAGUCUUUAUUUUCUUGAUUUACAUGUUAUAUAAAAUUUUCUAUUAUCAAUCUUUUUUAUUGUUGGUUAAGUUCAACAUAUUAGUUUUUAAAAUUUUUAACCUUUAUUCUUAUGUCUUUGGCCCCCAACAAAAGUUGACUAGCUCUGUCGUUUUUCACUAUAAUCUUCUUUAUUUCCUCUCAUUUCCAACAAUUUUCUACUCAACUCAAACUCUGUACAUUUCAAGUAAAACAGAUAUGAAACAACUAACUAGACAGAUAACUUUGGAAAAAAGUUAUGUUGAGUAGAAUUUCUAAAAUAAAAAAAUUAAAAAUUAUUUAAACAAAGAAAAGAAAAACAUACUAGAAGAAAGCAUGCUAAGAUGCGAAUUUAAUUCCAAUUCCAAGCUAUUUUCACCAUUAGGGCAAGAGAUUUCAUUGAAAUUUAUUCUUUCAACAUCAAUUUGUUGCUGCUCCAUGGUUAGAUUCAUUUAAAAUUAAUGAAUUCAAUUCUAUUGGAGGAAAAAAAAAAAGCAAUGAAGAGUCACAAGAAUAUAGGAAGCUAUGGAGAGUUAAAAGGUGCAUAAGCAAAAGGUGAGAGUAAUUGAGAUUAACUAAUAGUGAGAAUAGAUAAAUAGUAAUAUAAUUCAUUAUGAUUUGACCUGAAAAAAAAUUAUUUAAUUGAUUGUAAUUUAGAAAAUUACAAUUAUAAGUUGUUAGUGGAGAGUGUUCAUAGACAAUUAAUUAAGAGUGUCAAUAGCCCCACUCUUUGAGCUAAUUAAAUUAUAGACUAAUGUGAUAAAUUCUAAGCAAUAAUAAAGUUCACACCAUCUCUCCUUAAUUCUUAUCCAUGAGCUUUUCUUUCCCCUGAUUUUUUUCCUUUCUUUAUCAGAAAAUCCUCCUUAAUUCCUCCUCCUGAUCCCUGUAUCUGUCUUAUUAUUUGAUUGUCAAAGGUAUAAAUGGCACCCAGACAAAGCUUUUGUACCUUUUCUACUUGUGGCACAUGGAACCAUGAGCACUUUUGAAUUAUUGGUUUAUUUCCGAGUCUCUUUCUUACUGUUAUUUUCUUUUAUUCAAGUAACAAUGGACCCAGAAAUCUUUCCCUAAACCAAAGAGAUGAGUUUACAAGAAGAGAUUAAUAGUGGAAAAGGUACUGAAAUGCUUCCUCGAAACUUACCUCUCUAUAAGAGACAAAUAGAAGUUUUUUGCUCUCGGCUUCACACAAAUGCCAUGUGUGGAGUGUUAGCUCUAUCAGAUCAAAAGAGUUAACUUGGACAUAGAAAAUAAUUUAGUGUCAAUUUGCAUGUAAAUUUUGUAUAUGUAUCGUCUGAUGCAAAUUUUACAAGUUUCUAGGUGGGAACAGGGGCGGACCCUCCUUAAGGGAUGGGGGUCAAGAUUUUUAAAAGUUUUUUCAUAUUAUAGAAAAAUUUUAAAUUUUUUUUUAUAAAUUCUCUUGGUGACCUUUAAAAUAAUUUUUUAUUUAAUAAUUAAUUCAAAUAAAAACUAACAAAAUGAUUCCAUAUGCUUGACUAAGUUUUAAAGUUUUUUUUAAUUUUUUUCAAUUUAUACUAUUAUUUUUAUUUUUAUUUGUUUAUUUUUUUCAUUUCUAUUCUAUUUACUUAUAUAUUUUAAAUCUCUAUAAAUAUUCUUUCACAAAUUUCUACGAACCAUCAACCAUAUUCUUUUUUUUUUAAUAUGUCAUAUGUGCAUUUUAUCUUCUACUUGUCAUGUUUUUCUUUUUUUUUUUGUUAUGUGAAUUUUAUUUUUUAUGAUUUUAAUCUUUAAAAAUUAAUAAAUUAUUAUGUAAUUCUCAAAUAUAAGUUGCAGUGUUAUACUAUUACUUAGAAUUUUAUCAAUAUAUUAUUUUUUUAUUCAGAAUAAUUAAUGUGUUGUGGAAUUUUUGUUGCAAACUUUAAAUAACAAAGAUAUAUAUAUACAAAUUGACAGAAUAUUGUAUUUGUUUCAAUGCAAUUUUAUUUAUUAUUAUUUUUAAUGGCCCUCAAAAUAUUUUUUUAUUUAAUAAUUAUUUUUAUUCCUCAAGCCGUUUGAUAAAAUUAGAGUCAUUAUUGUCAACAUAUUGCUAGUUAAGCCCAGCAAAUAAAUUUUAACUUAAUAUGUUAAACUUAUCAAAUUUUUAAAAAAAUAAAAGUGAGUCUACUAACCUAAACCCACUAAGUUUUAAUAUAAAUCUAAACUUAUUAUAACUUAUUAUAUCUUACAAUCCAACCCAAUAGCUUAUCAUAACAUAUCAUAUCUCAAUAUUUUAACUCAAAAAAUGCAAUAUGUUAAUUAGCAAUUUAAGAGGUAAAUAAAAAAUAAGAGAAAAGCUUCCUAAAAAAAAUACCCAUUUCGUGUAGAACACAUAAAGUAAAGAGGCAAUUUAUUUAAGUUUGAAAAAUUAUUUUCUUUUUUACUUUUGCACGCUGAAAGUGAGAGAGAUUCUUUUAUAGUUCUGUUCAGUUAUAUAUAUUUAUAUGACAUCAUCAUUACUGUUAAUGUGCAUUUUUUUAUAUGCCCAAUAGUUUGUGAAUUUUAUUUAAUCUUUUAUAUGAGUGAGAAUUGACUUAUAUAUAGAGUUUUCUUUGACUGUUUAGUGUCUUAUUUGGUUUGGCCUCCUUUAAAAAUGCUCUAGCUCCACCCUUAGGUGAGAAAUUCUUCUUGAAUUUUGUCAUAAGUAAUGGAGUAUUUCAAAGGCAUUUCGAUAUCAAAGGAUUUUUUCUUUGUUGUAAAAUAAUUCCACCAUUUCUAUGCCAUGGAAAGUCUAUUACACUAAGAAAUGAGACUUGGAAUGGCAUACGGGUUGCUAACUAAUAAAAUUACUUUUUUAAAAAAUAUAAAAUAAUUAAGAAAAAUAAAAUUAGAUAUUGAAUUUAAAAUUGAUUUAUUAAGGCUAAAAGCAUAAUAUAUAAUUAAUUAAGCACCACGUUAAGUGGGUGUUGUGAAAGUGCUAACACUUUCCUCACAAGUAAUUGUACAUUCAAACUUAGUUUAUUUUUGUAGACUAGAAUCUAUUAUUUUAAAUGAACUUAAGUCAAGUUUAAGACCUCGUUAAAAUGUAUAAAUUCAUUUCAGUGACCAAUCACACAUAAACAAAAAAGAUUGGUAACAACUUCUCCUUUAUGUUGAAUAGUUGAAUUUACAGACUCAUACAUUAUGAUAGUAAUUAUGGCAGAAACAAGUCUUCUGCCUUCAUCAAGACUAAAGACUUGGAUCAACAUUAUGUACUAAUGUCAUCACCAAUUUAUGACAAAUUUUCUUUUCAAAAAGAAAAAACUUUUUCCUUUAUACUUGUUCCUUGAGGUAGUGGCCUUGGAGUAGUAAUGGCUUCUUCCAAUAAUUACUAGUCACCAAUUGUGAUCAGGGUUGUUACGUAAUCCAAGAACCUUAAAUUUGAGACUUUAAUUAUUUCUUCUCAUAAAUUUUGGAUACCAAAAUUUCAAACAUAUCAAAAUUGUUGAUGAGAAUUUCACUCUAAAUUAAAAUUAAUUAAUUAAUUAAUUAUUAUUGGUUCCAAAUAUAAGGUACAAAAACAACAUUAUAAUGUUUAGGUCUGACUCAAUAACUUUAAAGGCCCAAAGUAAAAUAUUCAAAUGAGGCCUUUUUUUACUAAAAUUAAGAAAAAAAUUUUAUUAAAAUUUUUUUCUUCUAACUUCUUGAGAUGUAAAAUUUCUAAUUAAACUUUUAUAAUCAAGUUGUUGUAAUAUUUCUUUAAUAAUUUUUGAUUCAUUAAUAAUUUAUGAUUCAUUAUUUUUAUUACUUGUAAAAAAAUGAUUAGCACUGAGAAAAAUAUUGGCAACUUGGUGAUUAGUAAUCAAUUGAUUAUUAAUAAGAGUUUGGAAAAAAAUAUUGGCAACUCGGUGGUGAAUAAUGAAUUGAUUAUUAAUAAGAGUAGGUGUAGGAGUAGGACAUAUGGAUAGAUUAUUGGCAACAUGGCUCAACGUCGUCCCAUUGAGAAAGCUACAAUGCCAAAGCUAAUUUCAUACAUUGAACAAGUUUGUUUUAUUUACUGUUUUCCAGCUAUAAUCCAAAACAUGGUUAGAGAUCCUUUCAUUUCACAGCUUUCAUGCAAAACAAAAGCUUGGCAAAUGAACAUCAUUAUUGGCAACUUAAAUUUUUUUAAUGAUUCAUGAUAAUCUUUUUUAUUUAAAGGUUCAUGAUAAGCUUCUUUAUUUCCUCUCAAUUCUAUCAAUUUUACAAAUAUAUUGAUAUUUGGAAUUAGAUUUAUUUGAUAACAAUUAACUUAAAUUUGGGGAAGACCCUCGUAGGACUCAAUUAUGUCAAAUACAUUCUUCUUGCAUUCUUGGGUUUUUUUAGUUGAAAGUGGAAGACCCUUGACCUGAAAUGCCUCUUGUAUUCCACAACUUUUGAUUUUUAAUUCUAUCAAAUCUAGGAUGCAUUUUCCCUAAUCUUUUCCUUUUCUAAUACAAUAAUCUCAACCACCACAGCUUUUGCUAGUGGAACAUGGAAUUAUCGAUUCACUUUUGAAUUAAUUUUAUUUUAUUAUCCAACUUGGUGAUUAAUAACCAAUUGAUUAUUAUAAUAAGAGUAGGUGUAGGACAUAUCGGAAAAUAUUGCAACCUGUUGAUGAAUAAUGAAUGGAUUAUUAAUAAGAGUAGCUGUAGGGCAUUUGGAUAAAUUAUUGGCAACUUGGCUCAACGUCGUCCCAUUCAGAAAGCUAAAAUGCCAAAGCUAUGAUCCAAAACAUUGUUAGAGAUCCUUUCAUUUGACAACUUCCAUACAAAACAAAAGUUUGGCCAAUGAACAACCCUUAGACUUUAAAUGGCAUUUUGCGGCUGCCGAGUCUAAUAAAUUCAUUUUUCAGAAAAAAAAAAACCAUUAUUUCUUUAACUUUGUUCAACUUUGUUGUCAUAACCCUAUUCUUGUGCACAGGGGUUGAGACUGAUUUUUGGUGCUGCCAAACUUUUAUUUGGUGCAGCAGGACUUUUGUAACUGUAUAUAACUUUGACAUCCUAAAGCUAAGUCUCUUUGAUGCCAUCAAAAGUCUUCUAGUGUUACGGUUCAAGACUUGUUAUGGCAUACUAGCCAGAAGUUUUAAUAAUAUCCCAAUUUUCAAAAAAAAAAAACAAAUUAAUUUCAUUUCAAACUUUGUUUAAGCAAACAAGGGCGUUUAUAUUUAUUGGUCAAUUGAUUGUUAGCCAACUUGAUGGGGGCUUUUGCAUUUACCUCCAUAUAUCAUCAACUCAUUCUUUGGUCUCUUAUUGUAAAACAGCUUGCUCAGCAAAAUUUUGUAAUAGCAAAUCAAUGUCAGGAUAUAUAGUUAAUUAUUUCAGAGAAAGUGAAAUGCAAAUUUUAUCUAAUCAAAAUCCCUUUCCUUUGUUGUUUAAAGAGUGAUUUUCUUUGUAGUUGACUUCUUAGUCUAAUUAGUCUUCAUAUAAUAUUUAUUAAAAUAUAUAAUAUAUUUCUUAGUUUAGUGAUUUUCUUUUUAUUAAAAUAUUUAUAUAAUAUAUUGACCUGUUUAAAUUAUCUAGACCUCAAUAAGUUAAAUUUUGAGCUAAUUAAAUUAUAGAAAAUUAUCCCAUAAACUGUCAUGGAAUUUAAAAACUUUGUCUAUGGAAUUAGAAAGUUGUCACAUAUUCAUUAGGAUAUAUUUAAAAAAAUUAAUAAAUUAAUCUGAUAAAUAAAAGAACAUUUUGUCAUGCCCUAGAUCCGAGGCAUAAUAGACGCCACACACCAAUAACAUAUAAUCAUACAGGCAUGUAAGGCACAAAAACAUAUAUCUUAUCCAACCAACUAUAGAGUCAAAUAUUUCUGAAAGCUAUAAUGAUUUACGAAGCUAAGUCUAUCAACAUAAUUCAAAGGGAUAUAAUCCAACAAUGUUUAAAAGUAAGCUUCCAAUACUAUAAGCUAAGAUGUCAAGAUAAAAUCAUGAAUAACAAAUUUAAGAUAGCUAAAUGGUCAUAACAUUUAAAAAUCUUGAAGCAAACUAACACCAUUUACUAGCCUAUGAAACAUCACUCCUUGAAAUUUCUCACGUGUUUGACCAAAUCACAACCUGCAAAAAAGGUGAAGGAAGGAGUGAGUCCAACAGCUCAGUAAGUGACUAACAUCUCUUCAGUCGGAUUAAGCAUGCACAAAACAUUUAAGCCAACAUUAUUUAUUCUCAUAUAAAUAUCAAAAACAAAAUUUUGGGUAAUCUAAUUCGGAUAACAGAAGUAUCUUAAUUCCAAAAUUUUAAAUAAUGGUUAAAAUAUGAUUUCACAAUUAUUACAUAUUUUAAUGGUCUCCCGUAACCUACUAUGGCCAUAUUUAAUGCCUAUGGCAUAGGUCAUAAUCAUAACAGAAACCACAAUUAACCCCAGUGGUAUAGGUCAUUAUCAUAUCGAAACCACAAUUAACGCUAGUGGCAUGGGUCAUAGGUAUAUCAGAAGUAACCAUUGACUGCACUAAAUAGAUAUCACAAAUACCACUAUUCUGUAACCGAUGGUGCAAUUGGAAGAUCGAUCUCUAAUCACAUAAUACAUGUCGACAUGGCCAACAUUUAAACCCAAUUGGCAGGAUCAUAACAUAGUCAUACUAGGAGACAAAACAAAAUAUAUUUUUUGAUUACCUAAAUUCAUAAAACAGUAUUAUUCACUUUUAUAAAACACAUAUCGUGCACAUCAAAAGUAUAUUUAUUUCAAACAAGGUAUAUACAUAUAUAUAUAUAUAUGUAAUAACAAAGAUAAUCAUAUAUGCACAUGUUAGACAAAAUCAUAUUCAAAUUUCAAAAUCAAAAAUCAUACUUUGCAAAAUUUACAUUCUAAAAUCUAACAUAUGAAAAUCAUAUAUAUAUAUAUAUAUAUUGCAUGCUCAACCCGAUUUUUUAACAAACUAUAAGAUAAAACAUAUUAUACAUAAUAUACAAAAUUCAAUUUCACAUUGAGGCUAAUAUUAGAAUGUGAAAACACCGAAAGGAUAUUAGUCACAUGAUUUUGUCAAGUUCAUUUUUAAGCAGCAAAUAAGAAAAUCCUCCUAGUUGCUUAAUAUUUCAAGAAAAUAUAUACAAAAAUCAAUAUUAAAUUUGCAAACAAAUUCGACAAGUGACUCUCUGUUGACCAUCCUAAGCACUUAGAGUGUGUAGCAACCUCUAUUGCAAUUUAGAAACAUUUUCAAUUAAUAAGGUAAUAUUUUAUUAUUAAUUUUUUUGUGAAUUAAUAAAAAUCAAAUAACAUUGAGAAUUAAACUUAAAUCAUAAAAUUAGUAAAGAUUUUAAUUUUUUAUAGAAAUAUAAUAUUAAUUUCAUAUAAAAAUCAUGUUUGUAAUUUUUGUUUAAUUUUUGAUAUUUUUAUAAAAUUUACUAACUUAAGGAAUAAGUUUACAAAAUAUAAAUAUAUACACUUUUAGAUAUAAAAAUAUAGUAGAAAUCACAUAUCCAAUAUUUAUGAAGUUUACAGCAAAAUUUAUCAAAUAUUAAUUAAAAUCACAUUUUAAAAAAUUACAAAAAGAAAUUUCUAUUUUUUGAAAUUUUCAGAAUCUAGAUGGCCAUUUGACCUACUUUGGGCUCUUGUAACUUUUAAUCUGAACUGCUUCCAGUAACAAAAUCACACCAAUUUGAAGUAUUUAUAUCAUACUAUAACACCACAAUUUGUUUCCAUUAAAAAGAAUACAAGAGUCCCAAGUUUCAAAAGCCAAAAUUUAGAAAUCAUCACAGAUUUACUCAAAUUUUUGAGUUUGUAGUAUCAGUGAACCUAAUUUGAGGCUUUAAUUCUCUUAACACAAGAAGCCCCUAACUGAGCUAUUAACAACAAAUUAAACAUCUCAUUUCAUACUACAAAAGCUCUCAAAGAAAUGACCCAAAAUGUUACCAGAAUAUGAAAUUCCGGUAACCCAAAGUUGAGUUGUCAAAACUGUUAAAAUUAAGUUUCCAGUUAACUUCAAAAAUUCGUAUCUUUCUACCUAUAAAGCCAAACGAGAUGCUACAAAAACCAUUAGAAAGUUACUUUCAAGAUCUUUCCAUUGGUACCCAUCAUGCCAUUGGAAAGUCACCGGAACAGUACCGGAUUUGAAUAAAAGUUAAGGAAAUAUAAAAUAAUUUAGGGAUUUUGCACCUAAACUAAGAAAAUACAACCCUAAUCAUACCUCAAUCAUAAAUUUCUUGAAUACUUUUCCCUUUUCUGUAUCUUUCUUCUUCUUCUCUUUCUUCUAACUGUCUUUAUCUUAUACCUGACUAUAAAAACUGAGUUAAUUUCAUUUUUUUUCAACUGAUUGCUUUCUUUUAAAUUUGUUGAGAUAAAACUAUUUCUUUUCUUUUUAAAACAUGAUAAGAUUAACUUACUGCUCUUCUUUUAAAUGUGCUAAGAUAAAACUGAAUGAUUUUCUUUUCUUUAUAGAAUAAAGUAAAAUUGAUUUAUUUUCUUUGUAAACAUGAUAACAUAAUAUAACACCAACUAAAAUAUAUCUACUCUAUUUUCUAAAAGGUCUUUUCUUCUUUUCUCUUUUUUAUUAAUAACCCUAAAGCCAUAUUUGCAAUUAUCAAAUAAAAUGAUAUAUUAUAUAUUUUUUUUGUAACAGUUGGUAUCAGAGCAGACUCUGAGUACUAGCAAUGUGCCACUAAGGAUAGUAGGCCCUUGUUGAAGUGGGGGAAGAUGUCACGGUCCUCGUCUGGAUGUGAAUCCCACAUCGUCAAGAUAAUGCUCCCUAGUGAGUUGAGCUAGGGAGAAACUCCUAGUGGGGAGUAAGGGAGAAUGUCGUAGUCCUAGAGAGAGAAGUCAUAAAUCUCACAUCGACUAUCUACUGGAGUGAUACUGGGAGUAUAAGAAUUUACACCACCUUCAACCUAUGAGGUGCUUUUUGCAGGACAAAACCGUGAGGACAACAAGCCAAAGUGGACAAUACCUCACAGGGGUUAGUGUGGACCGUGACACCUUUGACAAAAUUUUAAUUCUACUAAUCGAGUUAAAAACUCACCGAGGAUGUGUAGAAUAAUAGUCCUGAAAAUAAUCCCUUUGUUUUUACAAUCGAGGGACAUUGAUCUUUACAUGCAUUAGUAAUGAAGAUUUGUUGCUUUUCCUCCUAGCAUUUUGUGCUUAAUUACAUGCUUUUGUUCGACUUAUAUAUAUAUAUAUAGUAUAUANUUGGUAUCAGAGCAGACUUUGAGUACUAGCAAUGUGCCACUAAGGAUAGUAGGCCCUUGUUGAAGUGGGGGAAGAUGUCACAGUCCUCGCAUGGAUGUGAAUCCCACAUCAUCAAGAUAAUGCUCCUAGCAAGUUGAGCUGCAAAGUCCCACAUCAAAGAGAAACUCCUAGUGGGGAGUAAGGGAGAAUGUCGUAGUCCUAGAGAGAGAAGUCAUAAAUCUCACAUCGACUAUCUACUGGAGUGAUACUGGGAGUAUAAGAAUUUACACCACCUUCAACCUAUGAGGUGCUUUUUGCAGGACAAAACCGUGAGGACAACAAGCCAAAGUGGACAAUACCUCACAGGGGUUAGUGUGGACCGUGACACCUUUGACAAAAUUUUAAUUCUACUAAUCGAGUUAAAAACUCACCGAGGAUGUGUAGAAUAAUAGUCCUGAAAAUAAUCCCUUUGUUUUUACAAUCGAGGGACAUUGAUCUUUACAUGCAUUAGUAAUGAAGAUUUGUUGCUUUUCCUCCUAGCAUUUUGUGCUUAAUUACAUGCUUUUGUUCGACUUAUAUAUAUAUAUAUAUAUAUAUAUAUAUAUAUAUGUAUAUGCUUUCAUUAGUGCUUGUUGAAUUAUGGCAGUAAAAUGUUUAAUAGAGUUGAUAUGAAUGAAGUGACUAUAUCUUUUCUGCUUAUUGGGUUCCAUUGCUUGAAGCAUUUCUGCAGUUUCUGUAUAAAAUUCUUGGAGCAUUGGCUACAACUUGAAAAAAGGGAGCAUGACAGGAUUGUAUCCAAAUUUGCCUAUAUCUUCAAAUUCAGUUUAACUUCAUCAUCAAGAAAAGAAAAUCUCAGUUCAGAUUGUAGUAUUUCAAAUGCAUGCAUGCUUACGAAGUUCGUUUGGUAAUAUAUAGCACAAAAAGCAUUGUGAACCCAACUACGAAACACAUUGAUCCCAUCUAUUUUUCUAACAACAGGUGUGGCAAUACCAAUUCUAACAUUGGUUUUAGACCACUUUAUCAAAUUUCAAAGCCAUUUUUUAGUGCUUGUUUCCCCUGGCUUUCUUGGGAGAAUAUCAAGAUUAAGUGGUGCUAUAAAAGAAGGCCAUGUUAGGAAUGGCAGGGGGACAGAUUUUAAUCGGGUAUUCGAUGUGAUCAAACUUGAUUAAUGUAAUUUUUUAUAAUUAUAAUUGAAACAGAUCGGAGGAAUGAAGUUAAUUGGAUAUUGAACCUCGAUGGUAGAUUAUGGAAAUGGUGGAAGACAUUUCAGCAAGUGGAUUCUUUAAAGGAGGUGAUAGGCAGUGUAUUACUCUAUGAAUGCUUAUUUUUUGGCAAAGGAAGGUGCAAGGAAAGAGAUUUUUUAUUGGGUACGAAUUCAUGGUGACAAAGUAAUAUGACUUUAUAGUUAUGAAGUAGGUCUGAGUAUUUAGAAUUAAGAUAGAGAUGUAAUCUCUGUAUGAUUUUAUGGUAUUCAUACUUGACUUUUAAGCUCAUGUGACUAAUAUUCCACGGAAUAAUAAGAUAUUGUCAUUACCUUGAGAUUCACCUUUAGAAUUCUGAUUCUUCUAAUGCAGCUUUGUUUAUCCUGCAGGGAGCCUUCAAAACCAAACAAAGUGAGACAUAAUAAACAAGAAUUAUUAUAAUUUUUGUUAACAAGUAGUAUAGCACAUAACAAAAUAUAAACAAAAAUCAGUAACAAAGCAAAUUGCAGAUACCUCUAUGUCUUGGCAUUCACACGAACCUUGGAAUUGACAAUAAAUGUCAUAGUUAGCUUAGGACAGUCUUCAACUAUUGAAGAACUUAAAUUGGGAAUUACAAGGUGUCAAUUAAAUCUCUACCUACGCAAGUAUAUAUAUCGAAAAGAUACUAUAAUGGUAAGUAGAGUAUCGAUCCCACAAAAAAUUGACCUAAAAUUUCUCCAAGUACUAAAAUUAGAACAAUUUAAUCUUAUCCAAAUAAUCAAAUUCAAAUAACUAAAUUAAUUCACUAAAACUGAUUAAUAAAAAUUUAAACAAAAAGAAAAAUCAAAGCAAUAAUAACUUGGAUAAAAAUCAAAUCAAACAAGUCUAAGAUUACAAUAUCAAUCACACUUCAUCUAAAUCUUAACUCUCUUCCUAAACUUAUUUCCAUAGGUUGAAUUGCUAACCUAAAGUCCUCAGUUAUUCAUAAGGGUCUCCCGACUCAUCUUAUAAAAAUAUCUAUUUUAACAAAAAUACUAUAUCCUUAUAUGAAUUGAAAUUAAAACAGACUCAUUAAGUUCAGGUUCUAAUUUAGCUACAUAUUACCUAUAGGUAUAUCCCUAUCCUAUACGCAAAUCAAUUAAUAUGAUCAUAUGUUAUUCCAAUUUUAGUCUACACUAAACUCCAUUUCCAAAGUUUGUUUAGGUUUCUAGAUCAAUUUAAUUGGUGAUCAGGCAAUUAAAAGCAUUAAGAAGAAAUUGGAAUAAACAAUUCAAAUCCCAUUAAAGAUAAGCAAGAAAGAGAUUAAAAAUUUAGAUUACAUGUGAGUUUAAUUACAAUCCUAGAAAAAUAAAUUUAGCUCAUAAUAUCUAAUAAAAACUUCAUCCAAAGAAACUUAGCUAUUAAUCCAAGUCAAAGAACAUAAGAAAAACACAAAAGUAAAGAGAGAAAACUAAUAGUUAGAGCUUUGUGAUCUUGAUUCUCCCUUCAAUUCUCUUGUUUUCUUGCUUUGUUCUUCCAAUUCUCCAAAAUAGUUGCUUGUUACUUCCCCCUUAAAACCUCUGAAAAGGGUCCCUUAAAUAGGCUCCAAGUAACCUAAUUUUCAAAAUCUAGUCAAAUUUUUAUUUUUGGAAAAUCACCCAUCGCCGCAGCCUUGAUUUCUUGGUGCUGCGGCACUAGAUUCUUGCUACAGUAGCACUGCAGUGCUCUUCUUCUAGAGCUGCGGCGUUGAGCUCUUGGGAAAAUGUGUUGUGUGCUUCCUUUCACCAGUGCUACAGACUUGUUCUCCUAGUGCUGCUGCAAUCUGUCAACUUCGAAUGUGAUUUUCACCUUGAUUUGCUCCGAACUCUUUUUUGUCUAAGUUAUUUUAUAUUAUUGUCAAACAUUGAAUUUCUAGCAUGACUAUUUAAUUUAUAAUUUGCCCCCCCCCUCCCCCCGCCCCCCCCNNNNNNNNNNNNNNNNNNNNNNNNNNNNNNNNNNNNNNNNNNNNNNNNNNNNNNNNNNNNNNNNNNNNNNNNCCCAAUGUAAAAUACUUGGCUCCACCACUACAUGGAAGCACCUUGUCAUUGAAGCCAAUUUGGAUUCGACUAAUUUACUGAUGCUAUGUGAUAAGUGUCAAUUAAUUAAGAAAGCAGUGAAAUGUAUUUAUAUUGUUGAAAUAAAAUAAAAAUUAAGAGAGAGAUCAUAAAAACAGGGUUUAAUGAUCCUUUCAACUUUCAUCACUUAGCUUUUUUCCUUUACACUUGGUCUUUGAGGUGAUGGCCUUGGAGGUAGUAGUGCCUUCUUCCAACAAUUACUAGUCAUUUUAUAAUAAUCGGAAUUUUUUAUUAAAAUAUUUAUAUAAUAUAUUGCCCCUGUUUAAAUUAUCUAGAACUCAAGAAGUUAAACACUGAGUUAAUUAAAUUAUAAAAAAUUUUCCAAUAAACUGUUGAUGGAGUUUAAAAAUUUUAUCAAUGAAAUUAGAAAGUUGUCACAUGUAUAUCCAUUAGGUAAAAAGUUAAUAAAUUAAUCUGAUAAGUAAAUUAAAGGGCAUUUGACAAUGUUUUAAUUAACUUCACUAAUGGAGUUAAAAUCCCAUAGAAUAAUAAUCUUGAAUAUAAUCCCUUGUUUUUACAACUGAUGGACAUUGAUCAUUACGUGCAUUGAUAACGAAGAUUUGUUGCUUUUCCUUAAUUUUUCUUUUCUUUCUGUUUUUUUUCAUUGUUAUAUGUGUUAUAGAUAACGACAUCCAUCAUCUCUACGAGAAAUUUCAAAUUAAAAAAAUAUAUCAGCUUUGAGAAAAGUUAAGCUAAUAAACUAUUGGAAAAAUAUUGGCAACGUGGUGAUUAAUAAUCAAUUGAUUAUCAUAAUAAGAGUAGGUGUAGGACAUAUCGAAAAAUAUUGGCAACUUGGUGAUCAAAAAUGAAUUGAUCAUUAAUAAGAGUAGGUGUAGGGUUAGGACGUAUGGAUUAAUUAUUUGCAGCUUCCAUAUACAUUAAGAAAAGUUUAUUUUAUCUAUUGUUUUCCAGCUACAAUCCAAAACAUUGUUAGAAAUCCUUUGAUUUGACAACUUCCAUACAAAACAAAAGCUUGGCAGAUGAACAACAUCAUUAUUUCUUCAACUUUAUUUUAUUAAUAAUCAAAUUGAUUUCAUUUCACACUUUGUUUCACAAGUGGUAUUUAAACAUUUAGGCCGAACUUCGCAAGGGAAUCCGCAAACGAAUUGGCUUUUCUAAGUGUAUGUCGAAACUCGUAUUAAUAAAUCAAACUUAGGCCGCGAUCAAUAUCAUUAAAUAUUCUCCAAUGCAUCCAAGCCCUCCCUCGUAUUCAACUGCCAACUUCUUUCGUAACGACAUAGGGAGAAGAGAUUAACAUUUGCAAGGCUUGUUUAAUCCCCGCUAACUCAGCAAAAUUCGAUUCUUGAAUACCAAGUGAUCCAAAAAUACCCCAACUACCAAGCCCUCCUCAUUACAUAAGACCACACUACAUCCCGUUAGGCUCGGUUUGCCUCUAGAUGAAGCUCUAACCUACAUAACAUACUUGCAAAACUUUUCAAUGAGGAUUUAAAAUAUGAAAAUAAAGAUAAGAAAUAGAGGAAUUUCACUCUUGUUCUUCUACUUAUUGUACAUAGAGAAAACAGUAUAACCUGCAACAGAGAGCAACAUAACAUUAAUUGGCUUUUUUUUUUUUUUGCUCAGUUAAUUGGCUAAAUUACAGAAAGGAAGGAAUCCCUUUGCUUGACAACUCAUUAAGCAAACACCUUCAGAAAGGCACACAUAUUUAACCUCCACUUUUUUCAAGUAAAUAAUAAAGGUUAACACAAGCGAACCACCCAAACUUGAUAAGGACUAGGCAAACAAAAUAAAGAAAUGAAAAUGUUAAGCAGCCUUUGUUUUACCUGUGUUUAGUUAACAGCCUUAACCUUCUCAUUUAUUUUUAGAUAUGCCUUUGCAACUUCUCCUGAAAUCAUCUCAUAAUUCUUCCAUCUAAGGUGGUAGCACACCCUCCAUCCAACUGCGCCAAAAUAUGGUCUUCGUGUGAACUACAUUUUGAGUAGUGGUAGACCCUUUAGUGGUGUCUUGCUCAACCAGUUGGGGUGUCUUUUGAAAAAAUUGAAUCAGUGAAAUGUACAACAAAAUAUUAAUGACUCAUGUUAUGAGGGCAAAAUAAGAAACAUGCAUGCUAUAAUUUAUAAGCAUUUUAGGACAAAUUCAUAAAAGAUAUUACUUAAUCACGGAGAUAUGCUUCGCGAAGUCUGGUAAAUGUUUAAUUUAUAUACUAAAAUGAUAAAACCAUCUGAAUUUGAUUACAAGUAACAUUUGGAUUCGGAAAAUCUUUUUCUUUUAUUCAUUUUUGAAUAUUGAGAAAAGAGAGGUUUAAUAAUUUUCAAUAUAUGGAUUUUGGAAAGAUAAUGUUUUAAAAAAAUGUGUGUAAAAUUAAUGUGGUAGUGGCAUUCUCUAUGUUCCAAUUAGUUUUCGCACUCGUUUAAGAUAAUAAACGCUUGUUGUCAAAAUAAAUAAUUUAUGACCAAGUGCCAUUCCAAGUCUCAUGCUUGUUUGGCAGAAGACAUUCCAUGGCAAACAUAACCUGGUUUGGGCUUGAAGACCUGUCAAAAACAAAAGGAGUUCAUCGCUCAUGAGAAACAGGGACGAUGAAGCUCAAAAUGCCCCCAGCUGCAUCGCAGCUCACAGCCCCAGUUGCUAGAAUAUUUUUAAAUUUUUUAAGGUUAGUUUGGUAUUAAUUAAGAUUAGAGAAAUAUUGAUUUUUGUUUCCAUCGUGUAUGUUUUAUUAUCAGUAUUAUCAAUUUCAUCAUCAAGAACAACAAACUAAGCAUAACACAAGAAAAAGUUGGGUGGAUACCUCGGUUAUGGCAUGAACAACUCGUUUUGAAUCAAUGUUGAAACUUGUACUCAACUUGGGGCAUCCUCUUAGAAUAAAAUAAUCCAAACAGGGCAAUCGAAAAUGGUAACCAAUUGGGGCGAAACUCUUUAGGCUUGGCAGCUCAUCAAGUGGCAAUCCUUGUAAGUAAGGGAGCGCUAUUCCCUUCUGAUCAUCUUCAAAGUCUACUUCACCUUGAUACCCAAAGACUCGCUCAAAUUUUGAAGCCCCAUGAAUUGACAUGUUGCAGAGUCUUGAAAGAGAACGGGUGAUACUAAUAGGAAAUAAGCAUUUCAAAUUGCUGCACUCUUGAAUUUGUAUAACUGUAAGACUAGGGAAGGGUAUAGGUUGGCGAUGACCCUGUGAUGAUGAUGCUGAAGUUUGAUCCAUUUCAAUGAUUUCUUCCAAUUC
Molecule: long non-coding RNA, 41496 nt
Filed under: Theobroma cacao (cacao)
Lineage: Eukaryota; Viridiplantae; Streptophyta; Magnoliopsida; Malvales; Malvaceae
Description: long non-coding RNA (TCAC_LNC004192)
Source: RNAcentral